AUCCACCUGACGAGUCCCAGAUGAGACGAAACGUAUGUCUUGGAU
Molecule: non-coding RNA, 45 nt
Filed under: Schistosoma haematobium
Lineage: Eukaryota; Metazoa; Platyhelminthes; Trematoda; Strigeidida; Schistosomatidae
Source: RNAcentral